Molecule: long non-coding RNA, 1467 nt
Organism: Bubalus bubalis (water buffalo)
Lineage: Eukaryota; Metazoa; Chordata; Mammalia; Artiodactyla; Bovidae
Exons: 2
Source: RefSeq, a predicted model, not a curated record
AAAUACAUACUCUAGUCCUGGCUCUGUGUCCCAGGCAAAAGCAAAACGUGUUCAAGAAUAGUAUCCCCAUUCAUUACAUUAAAAACAAGUGUUUUUACACACGUGAAACUUGUCACAAAUAGAUACCAGGAAAUGCAGUGAGAGAUAUACAGGGAGAGAGGGAGGGAGGAAGGGAGACAUUGUCAUAGGCACAGUGACGAGGAGGCCCGGUACAGGCGGAACUCAGCUGUCACCUAAGGAAUAUGGGGAAAGUGGGGACAUUCUUGGAAGAUAACAACGGUGCAGGACACUAAUUGGAUAAAGGAAGCUGUUCAUAAAACUGCUUGCUUAGGGGAAAAAUAAGGGUGCCGUUUUAGUUCAGAACUGCAAAUUCCUGAGCGGUACUAGGGAAGCUGGCUAAGGAUGGAGUGUGGGGCCUAAGGAGUUUGGCGGCAGGGCAGCGAGCUACAAAGCAGGGAGCCCUGCCAGGAGUUCCCUCUCACAGGUUCUGUUCCCCUUGCCAGACGCCAGGGACCACGUGGCUCUACCGGUUACAAGAAGCCCGGUGCCCAGGGCGCCAGCGGAAAGCGCUCCCUCGCCCCGACCACCCCUGUCCUCGGUCCCCAAAAGCGCAGCGGCGGCGUCAAUCACCCGCCCCACGACGGCGGAGAUGUCACAGCCCAAGCAGGCUCUCACCAGAAGAACAGGCGCGAGCAGAAGUUCGCGUCCUGCAGCGGGUUGGGCUUCCGCAUCUUGCCGGCGGGGGCGGCCACGGGCCGGGGUCGCGCUGCUCUGGUGAUGGAGCUGCUCCUGGAAGCGCCGGCGGGGAGACUGGAGGCUCAGACACAACGCGGUCGGUCCUCUCUUAGGGAGACAGAAGCACCUGCUUCAGGAAGUGGAGCGGCAGGGCGGGGGUCGGUGCCGCCUGCUCCGCGGCUCUGCCUCUGGGGCCUGGAGUCGGGAGCGGUGGGGGCAGCAGGACCAAGGGGCGGCCAGGCGGACUCUGCCGGGGGCCACGCAGGUGUGAGGCGAGGCUGCAGGCGCAUUUGAUGGAGCCAGUUAAGGAAACUGCGGCACCCAAGGCACCGGACAGAGGGGCCUACGUUUGGGCACCCGGCUGCAAAUUCUACCAAAGGGCGCGCUCUGAGCCCGGGCCCCGACCCAGAAGACGGAGAAGGAGGGGCGGGCUGCAUCAGAAAUGCUCCUUCAGCUGUGAUGAAGACCCAGAGAAAGCUGGCACAAGGAGAUAGCAGCCCUUGCUCUGGGCACUCUGCCCUCAUCAAGACCAAAUAAGGGUGCUACAGGAGGGUGUCCAGCUGUAAUGGAGCAAGGACCUUGUGGGAUCUUCCUAGGCUAGACCCCACCCCAUGCCCUCUACCUGCCUCUUGUUUGUGCAUGCAGUGCUCACUCAGUCCUGUCCAACUGUUUGCGACCCCAUGGACUGUAGCCCACCAGACUCCUCUGUCCAUGGGAUUAUCUAGGCGAGAA